GACGAACGCUGGCGGCGUGCUUAACACAUGCAAGUUGAACGGAAAGGCCCUGCUUUUGUGGGGUGCUCGAGUGGCGAACGGGUGAGUAACACGUGAGUAACCUGCCCUUGACUUUGGGAUAACUUCAGGAAACUGGGGCUAAUACCGGAUAGGAGCUCCUGCUGCAUGGUGGGGGUUGGAAAGUUUCGGCGGUUGGGGAUGGACUCGCGGCUUAUCAGCUUGUCGGUGGGGUAGUGGCUUACCAAGGCUUUGACGGGUAGCCGGCCUGAGAGGGUGACCGGCCACAUUGGGACUGAGAUACGGCCCAGACUCCUACGGGAGGCAGCAGUGGGGAAUAUUGCACAAUGGGCGGAAGCCUGAUGCAGCAACGCCGCGUGCGGGAUGACGGCCUUCGGGUUGUAAACCGCUUUCGCCUGUGACGAAGCGUGAAUGACGGUAAUGGGUAAAGAAGCACCGGCUAACUACGUG
This 468-nucleotide ribosomal RNA is filed under the name uncultured bacterium. Its description in RNAcentral is "partial 16S ribosomal RNA". It matches the Rfam family "Bacterial small subunit ribosomal RNA", at positions 28 to 507 of the family's 1533-position model. The record is from RNAcentral.